This 17992-nucleotide long non-coding RNA is filed under the name Marmota monax (woodchuck). The stretch from base 6905 to 6973 matches the Rfam family "tRNA". The record is from RNAcentral. Lineage: Eukaryota; Metazoa; Chordata; Mammalia; Rodentia; Sciuridae.
AGAUGUUUGGUCAAAUAUUAUUCAGAUGAUGCACAUGAAGGUGAUUUNUAAACCUACUUUAAUCAUUUUGGUGAUUUAGAGUAUCUCUUGUUUGUGGUAAUUGCAUUUUUUAUUAUAUAAGCAUUGUAUUUAAUUGGGGUAUGCUGGUUUCUGUGGUUAGAAAUGUGAAAAGUUUGAUAAUUUAAGUGGACAUUAUCUUAAGAUUUCUUAAAGUGGUGCCUGUUGGAUAAACUAUAUGGGCCUUUUUAAGGCAUCUUUGUGAAGGACUUCAAAUGCUUGUAUGUUAAGACCUUUUUUUUUUGAGAGCUUGUAUUUUACUGUUGCUAGUUGUAAAGUCUUUGCUCUUUAGAACUUAGUCUGUUUUGUUGCUGCUCCUGAAUGCUAAUGUGGUUAGGCUGGCAGCUAAACCUACAAAUAACAAGAGGAAAUUAGGAAAUGUCCCCAUGAAACAUUGCUUAAAGCUAUUAAAGCAGUGGACUAGAAAUGGGGAGCUAGGGAUCAGGAGACCUAAUUUUUGUUUUGUGUUCAGAAGAGAGUGAGGCAUACCCUCCAUUGAGAAAUAACCUCCAUAAGUGUGUCCUUUUUUUAGAGUUUUGCUUCAUUUACCAGACAUUGAUUAAAGACAUUGAACAUUCUUGGCAUGUGCUAGGUGCUAGAGUCACAAGUGAACUGGGGGCCUUGUCUAGGAAAGGAUAAAGAUUGGGCUCUUCAAACUAUAGUAUAAUUUGUUGAAAACCAAAAUAGAGUAAAGAAAGAGUGGUGUGGGAUUGGGAAGAGAGGGAGGGAUACCUUUUGGGAAGGGCUCAGUGACAGGGAAAAUAGGUGAGGUUAGGGAUCACUUUUUUCAUGUAGGAGAGGUUUGAGGCCUCUGAAGGAAAAAUAGCCAUUUUACUGAUAGAGAAGAGGCGGCUACAAGAAGGCCAUCAACAGUAUAAUUUGAGAAAUGGCAAGUAAAGUUUACUGUAGUUGUGAGUACUAGAAAAUGGAACCAAUAAAGUUGUGGCUUCAUAGGAAGAGUUUGUAAUCGCAUGCUCACAAGCAUGGAUUUUAUUCUGUAGGUAUUUUGGGGACUAUAUGAAAUUUGAGUAGGAAAUCUCUGGUUUUGAAUUUUUUAAAGUAAUAACUAUUUUUUUUUUUUUUGUUAAUGCUGGGGAUUGAAUCCAGGACCUUGCUCAUGCUAGGCAAAUGCUCUUACAUUGAGGUACACCCCCCAUUCUUACUCUGGUUUUAAAAAAAGAUGAUGUGAAGAUUGGAUUGGAUACCUUUGAGACUACUAAGUUGUGAUUUAAGAGGAGAUAAAUUCUGGAGAUUAUUUUUAAAAUUGUCAGGUUUUGGUGGUAUUUGAGUACAAGAUUAUAAUCUGGUUAAAGGAUGAAAAUGUAUUUAAGUUAGAGAAUGUGUAGGAAGAACAGAAUUUGAGGAGGAAGAUAAUAGGGCAUUAUUCCAGAUGUGUUUAGUUUGGGGAGGGAAUGAACUGACUGAAGCGAAUGUAGGGAUUAAUUAAUAAGAGAUUUGCAUUCAUCAGCAUAAUGUCAUGGAAACUGUAAAAAUAGUAUAAUAUUAGAAGUGAGGAAAAAACUAAGGGCAGCCUUGGGAACAUCAACAUCUGAGGGUCAACUAGAAGAGGAUCCUAGAGGGAAGUUGAUGAAAUUGUGAAUAAUUAAUAGAAUGAUGUAGGGUUGAAGAAGCUGAGGAGAGGGAUUAAGAGAAUCUUAAGAGGGAAGUUUGCCAUGUGAAAUACUACAGAGAACUUACUGGGAUAAAAAUUGGAUUUGGCAUUUAAGAGGUAAAAGAAAUUUUCAAAAUAUCCCUGUAUAUAUGUAUUAUGCAUGUAUUGUUUUGCCAGGCAUCAUGAUAAUUUAGACAAUAUAUUUCUAGAGCAAUUCUAAAUAUGGGUAGAGGCCUUUGAAACCCAAUUUAAUAGAAGACCCAUGCUUAGAAAUAGGUUUUGUUUUUCCCUUUCUCUUAUGGGAAUGGCAGCUUGAAAGUUUCAGGAGGUGACCCCCAGUGGGGACUGCCUAAAAAUCUUUUCUCCCCAUUGUUGGGCUUUUGUUGUUUAAUUUUUUAUUAACACCAUCUUGAAAGCCUGUUUCUAAUUCUGAGAAUUAGAAUCCAUUUGAGUUGCUAGUCUCUUAAAAUACAAAUUCCUCUUGGAGGAUUUUGAGGUUUUAUGAUAUUAGUAUGUUAAAUAUAGGGAUUUCAUACCUAAGAUUUAUGGUUCUGGGGUUCAAGAAAAUAUAUUUUGACUGCAUGACCCUGAAUCUCUUGAAACUGCAUGAAAAAUUUUUACGAGUACCUGUGCAAUAAUGUGGGGACAAGGGUUCCUUCUCACUUUUACAAGAUUCUCAAGGAGCUGGGCCUCGUGGUGCACACUUGUAAUCCCAGUGGUUUAGGAGACUGAGGCAGGAGAAUCACAAAUUCAAAGCAUGCCUCAGGAAUUUAGCAAGGGCCUAAGCAAUUUAGGGAGACCCUUUCUCAAAAAUAAAACAUAAAAAGGGUUAGGGAUAUGGCUCAGUGAUUGAGUGCUCUGGGUAAUCCCUGACUACCCUCUCCCACCACCACCAAAAAAAAAAAAAAAAAAAGAUUCUCAAGGAGAUUUUGACACAAAAGUUAAGGGUCUUUUCACUAACAUUAAUGAUUAAAUAAAGUGUUGAUUGUGUUAGUUGGCUGAAACCAGUUAUCUUUACUACUGGAAUAAAUCAAGGGAAAGAAAUUUUGAGUGAGUGUUUAGGUGAGGAACUUUUGGAAGAUAUGAGGCACCUCUUUUUUGGGGGGGCAAGUACCGAGAAUAGGGGCACUCAAUCACUGAGCCACAUCUCCAGCCCUAUUUUGUAUUUUAUUUAGAAUCAGGGUGCCACUGAGUUGCUUAGUGCUUUUGCUGAGGCUGGCUUUGAGCUGGUGAUGCUGCUGCCUCAGUCUCCCAAGCCUCUGGGAUUACAGGCACAUGUCACCGUGCCUGGCUGAUUCACCUCAGAGAUGGGAAUAAGGACCACCAGGAGGAAGAUGAGGGGAAUGCUAAAAUAAAGCUUAAUAACCAGUUUCAUAAUUUUGCCAGUAUUUUAUUGGAGUCCUUGUUUUUUGUUUGUUUUUAAUAUACCAGAACUCAUACUAAUAGAUGACUCUUUAUGCACUAUUGAUACAGUAGGCUUUGGGGGUGAUUUAAUGGUAACACAUUGUAGUGUUCACAUACAAGAAUGAUAUGAAUAAAUGGGUAAUCUUAAACUGAAAACUUGUGUUAUUUAAUUUGUAAGUAGCUUGUUUGUGGAUUACCUGUUUUGACACAUAAUAAUUGUAUACGUGUGCUACCGUGUAAUAUUUUUACUUAUAUUUUAUAUGUUUACUAUUGUUUUAAAGGAAAAGUGUGUUUUACUUCAUCAAUUAUACUCGUAGACAAAAUUCAUUUUUGAGUUAGGAGUUGCUUAUACUUUGGAAAAUUUCAAAGGUGUACAAAUGUUUUAGUGAUAUGGGAUAAGAUAAAGAAAAAGGAAAAAAUUUUCUUAUUUAGUUUUUCUGACCACAAAAUGAAAGUACUGUUGAACUAUUUUGUAAGGUCUUUCUGAAAUACAACAAUUAUAGAAUACCUUGAGAUCUAAGGUGAUUUAAUGGAAACACAUUGUAGUGUUCACAUUUCUAAAGUCAUGAAUAAAAUGUAGGUAUUUAAACACAUUAUUUAUAAAAUAUUCCAUACUAGAACUUAUUUGAUUUCUACAAUAUUUCUUUCUAAAACUUUAGAUAAUUGUUCAUUUUUAGUUUCUUCCUGAAGUCUUUGGAUCUUUGAAAUCGGAUUGGGAGACAGUUUUGUCUGCUAGUCCCUAGUUGCCAGGGCAGUGAUCUUCAAACUUUUUUUUUUUCUUGAGCUACACCAUUAGCACAAUCUCCACAUUUUUUAAAAAAAUAUUUUUCAAUUGUCAAUGGAUUUUUUAAUUUAUUUACAUGCGGUGCUGAGGAUCAAACCCACGGCCUCACACAUGCCAGGCAAAUGCUGUACCACUGAGUCACAACUCAAGCCAAUCUCCACACUGUUAAUUGCCAAACUUUAUAAUUAAAAUAAUUAAUAUCAGUUGGCAUUGUUUUGUAGGAUACCCUAUGAAAGUAUUAGUAAAAGCAAGAAUGAUAUGAAAUAAUGGGUAAUCUUAAACAGAAAACUUGUGUUAUUUAAUUUGUAAGUAGCUUGUUUGUGGAUUACCUGUUUUGACACAUAAUAAUUGUAUAUUUGUGCUACAGUGUAAUAUUUUGACUUUUAUAUACAAUGUACAAUGAUAAAAUCAAUAAUUAGCGUAUCCAUUACCUCAUUUAUCAUUUAUGUUGUAAACAUUCAAAAUCCUCUCUUAUCGCUAUUUUAAAAUAUGCAAUUAAUAAAUAACUAUAGUGACCCUACUAUGCUAUAUAGAACACAAGAACUUAAUCCUUUGAUAUUAUUUAUGUACUCAUUAAUUAACCUUUUUCUAUCCCUUUCUUCCCAGUACUCUUCCUAGCCUCAGGUAACCACUAUUCUAUUACCAACUUCUAUGAGAUCAACUUUAGCUUCUACUAUGAGUGAGAACAUUGGAUAUUUCUGCCUGACUUAUUUCAUUUAACGUAAUGUCCUCCAGGUUCAUUCAUAGUGCUACAAAAUGGAUUAUCUUUACAUUUGCUAAAUCUACAAAGAGUGUCCAAAUAAAACUAGAAUAUUUUGUCUUUUCCUUUGGGCACUUGUAUUUGUUUUGUCUUUCAUUAAACAAUUAUGACAAUUUUUGGUAAUGUAUCUUCCAUAUAAAAGUGGCCCAUAAGGGGCUGGGAUUGUGGCUCAGCAGUAGAGUGCUCACCUAGUGCUUGUGGGGCCCUGGGUUCGAUCCUCAGCACCACAUAAAAAUAAAUAAAAAAGGGUAUUGUGUCCAACUACAACUAAAAAAUAAAUAUUAAAAAAAUAGCCCAUAAGUCAUAGAACCAGCCAAGGUUUGCUAAGUAAGAACAGUGUCAUAGAACUAGCAUCUUGACCCAAAAGCUAGCUUCAGGUAAUAAAUCCGAAGAAAAAAAUAAUAAUCCUGAUAUAUCACCAAUUACAUGACUUAAAAUUUUUGCCUUUUAAAAUUCUUGACUCUAAAGUUUCUCUUAAAUAAAAAUUCCUUCUAAAAUCUGAGUCUCUUAUAAGACUAUAGACUGUAUAUUUUAUAUAGAGACUAUAUAACAUUUUAUACUAUAUAUUUUUAUAUAUUUUAAUUUAGAAAGGCAUGUAAUAUGUGCUCAUUGUAAAACAGCAGAAGAGUAAUCAUGGUUCUACACAAAAUUAAUAUUUUAAUUGUUGAUUUAUAUGAUUAUACACCAUAUGUAUGCAUAUAUAAAAAUAUAAAACAAAAUAAUACAGUGCAUACUGUCUUGGACCAAAAAUGUCUAAGCACAUUUGAUAUUAUCAGCCUUUUUUUAUUCUGGAGAUUGAACUCAGGAACACUUUACCACUGAACUACAAUCCCCAAUUCCUUUUUUUUGAGAAAGGGGCCUACUAAGUUCCUGAGGGUCUUGCUGAAUUGCUGAAGCUGACUUUGAACUUUGAUCCCCUUGCCUCAGCUUCCCAAUUCAUCGGGGUUACAGGUGUGGGCCACAGCUCCUGGCCCACGAUCAAUUUUUGUCCUGAAACAUUUAAAAAAAAAUUUUAUUGAUAGACCUUUAUUUUAUUUAUUCACAUGUGGUUCUGAGAAUCGAACCCAGUACCUCACUCAGUACCAGGCAAGCAUACUACCUGUGAGCCCUGAAACAUUCUUAAUGGGACAGUUACAAAUCUAUAGUUUAAAAUUUUCUCUCAAAUACACAUUUACUUGAGAAAUGCUUGCUAUUUAUUCCAUGCUCUGUGGUUUUGCUGAGGUAAGGAUAACUUUGGAGUAAGGGUGUAAAGGCUUGCUAAUGAGAGCUUACUUAGUAAAUACUGAAAGCUAAAUCCUGGGUUAACCUCAAUUUCAUUCACAUAUUAACUUGCUGCUUCUCCACUCUGGCAUCAUACUUCCUAAGCAAAGAUUUCUAUUUGCAGGGUAAUUUCAGAAGUGAACAUCUUAUUUCAGUAUAUUGUUGGUCUUUCAUGUUACCCUGGGACCUUCUGAGUUGUUAUCCCCAUUGAUAAUAAAUUAAGUAUUAUUAUUAGCGGUGGUAUAAUAUAGUUGUGUUAAAAAUACCUUUUUUGGGAGGCUGGGGUUGUAGCUCAGUGGUAAGUGCUCGCCUCGCACAUGUGGGACCCUGGGUUCGAUCCUCAGCACCAUAUAAAAAUAAAUAAGUGAAAUAAAGGUAUUGUGUCCAACUACAACUGAAAAAUAAAUAUUUUAAAAAAUACCUUUUUUUGGAAGAAAAUCUUUGGAAGCUCAAAAGACUUUAAAUCUAUAAAAUAUAAAUAUUUUUAUUUCUAUGAAAUAUGUAAUUCAUAUUCCCCCAAUGAAGUGAUAUAAUUUAUGUGUGUAUAUAAAAUUCUAAUUUUACAUAUAAAGUAACUGGUCUUUCUCAAAGCUUCCCAAAGAUUUUUAUACAGUAGAAUCCUCUUUAGAACUAUUAAUAUAACCCAAUUUUCCUGACUACUCACUUAAUUCUGUAUUUAAUCCUUCUGAUAGCUGUUUAGUUUUUGUACAAAGUGGUAACCAAAUCUUGGGUAACAUUUUUCAUCUAAGUGCAGUCAUACUUUGGCUUAACAAUGGGGACAUGUUCUGAAAAUUGCAUUGGUAGGUGAUGUUGUUUAAGAAUACCAUAAAUUGUGCUUACAUAAACCUCGAUGGUACAGCUUUCUUCACACCUAGGCUAUAUGGUAGUGAAUCUCUCCUAGGCAACAAGCCUGUACAGCAUUUUACUGUACAGAAUCCCAGUAGUUGAUUAUAAUAGAAUGGUGAAUACCUGUAUAUCUAGAUGGAAAAAGGACUGUAAAAUACUACUUAAAAGAGGGUAUGGGGUUGGGGUUGUGGCUCAGCGGUAGAGCGCUUGCCUAGCAUGUGCAAGGUCCUGGGUUCGAUCCUCAGCACCACAUAAAAAUAAAUAAAUAAAAUGUAUUGACAACUACAACUAAAAAAUAAAAAGAGGGUACAUCUGUAUCAAACACUAGUGAAUGGAGCUUUCAGGACUGGAAGUUGCUGUGGGUGAGUCAGUGAGUGGUGAGUACAUGUGAAGUCCUAGGACAUCACUAUAGACUAUUUUAUAAACACUGUAUACUUAGGCAACACAAAAUUUAUGAAUUUUUCUUCAGUAAUAAAUUUCUCAUACCUUUCUAUAACUUUUUAAUAAACUUUUUACAUUUUAACUUCCUGACAGUUAACUUAAAACAAACAUUGUAUAGCUGUACAAAAAUAUUUUUUCUAGGCUGGGGCUGUAGCUCAGUGGCUUGCCUAGCACCUGUGGGGCACUGGGUUCAAUCCUUAGCACCACAUAAAAAUAAACAAAUAAAAUAAAGGCAUUUUGUCCAUCUAUAACUACAUUUUUUUUUUCUUUUAUAAGUUUCUUUUUUUGUGGGGUGGAGGAAUAAUGUAAGUUGAACCCAGGAGUGCUCUACCAUUGAGCUACACCCCUAUCCCUUUUUAUUUUUUGAGACAUGGUCUCACAUAAUUUCUCAGGCUGGCCUGGAACUUGUGGUCCUCCUGUGUAAGCCUCCCAUAUUGGUGGGAUUAUAGGCGUGCACUACAGCAGGCGAAUCAAAUUAAAAUUUUUAAUUUAAUUUUUUACUUUUAAAACUUGUGGUGUUAUUUAAAACAAAUUAAAGAAAAAAAACUUGUUAAAAACUAAUCUAGACCUAUAGAGGGUCAGGAUCAUCAAUAUUACUGUCCUAUCUCCACAUCUUUUCCAACUGGUAGGUCUUCAGAGGCAAGAACACAUGUAGAACUGCCAUCUCUUAAGAUAACAAUGCUGCCUUCUGAAAUUCCCCUUCAAAGACCUGUCUGUGGCUUUUCUUGAGGAGUUGUCACUCUUUUCUGAAAUAUGUCUAGAGGGCUUGCUUGGUUUGUUUCUUUAAUUCAUCAUAGAUUUGCGUGUUAGCAGAUACUGCACCAUUAGCAUUCCUUUCUAUUAAUAAAAACCUUUUGGUCUUGGUGUUCAUGGUUUUGAACUUUAGGGAACUGGUUGAAGUCUGCAAAAGCUUUAAACCCUUGACUGAUUUUUUUAUCUUUUAAAGUGUUCUGUAGUUUCCUUUUCUCUUGCCUCUUCUUCAGCAGUGUAUUCCUUCUUUAUUUAUGCUUGACAAGAUAUUAACUCAGUGUCUUGUAGAUGUAGUGGGAGGUAGAGAAUCUGGGAAUUAAAAAGUAUUGAUGUUUUGUCUCAGAUUUUGUUUUCAGUUUUUUUAUAUCUGAAAAGAGUGAGAGCAGUAGCUAAUUUUCACAUGAGAGUCCACCAAGAGGAUGGAUUGUCAUCUCUCAAGUUUUAUAGCCAAAUGUUACUCAAUAUUCUUUAAAUAGAUAGUCUUUGUUUAAUAUUAAUUUAGUGCUUGUGGUACAGUAGUGAUUCUUUCAGAUUUGCACUGUUUUGAACUUUUUAACUAGAAAUAAUGAUGUUCUUAUGAAAUAAUUGUUUUUCUUUAAAGAUAAAAGAUUGUGCAAGUGUUCUGCAUCAAUAUGCAUACUCAGAUUUGGCCAACCAUUGGAGGUUCAGGAUUCUAUGUACACUGCCUAUUCUUGAAUACCUGGAACACACUGCAUUACAAAAUGAACUUCCUUUUCAAACUUGCCCUGUUCCAUUCUUGGUUACCUCAGUCAAUAGUGCCAUUUCAUCCAGUUUCUCACAGCAGACUCCUUGUCUUUCCAUAUUUUAUAAUCCUGUUCAUUUAACCUUCUAAAUAAGCUUAGUCUGUCCUCUUCAUUUUUACCACUACAUUUCUAUCUUAGCUGCUUGUUGUCUUUCUUGGACACUUGCAAGUGGUCACUUGCAUCCAGUGUGACCCAGCCACUCAUACAUUAGUGCAGCCAGAAUGAAUUGAUUUUUCUAAAUACAUAGGUCUGAACAUGUUAUCUUGGAAUUUAGGAUGAAGAUGAAGUUGCUUAAUGUGGCUGUGCUAAACUUUUGGACCAUUUUGUACCAACCAUUUUCCCUAUUAGAUUUUUUUCUGUUUCUUGACUAGAAAACCUUUUAUUUCUUCUCUAUGUAGGAAAUCUUAUAAAUUUUUUGAGUCUCUGCUCAAGCAUAAUUUCCAAGUUAUACUUGAUUUCCCUCAUUUUUGAGCUUUUUCUUUAUGCAUUCAUUUAUGCAAUUUUAUCUUUAUUGCAUAUUACCCACCAGAUUAUAAGAGUGGAUAAUGUGCUUGUGUUCAUUUUCAGGCACCAGACUUACCAGAAGAUAGUACCUGACACAUAACAAGCUGUCAGAAUUAUUUGAAUGAUUGUAGAAUCCUCACAAAACUAAUUUGUAUUAUUAUACCUUAUUGUUAGGCUGUUGUGGUACCAUCUAACAUUUUAUAAUUUUAGGGACUCAUGGUGGAAAGAGAUUCUAAGCCAGCUGUGUUGCUUAAAAGUAAAGUCAUCAGUCACUCCUUGAAUACAUCAGUCUGGCUAGUCUUUAACACAUUUAGGUGGUUAGAAAGUAUAAUUUCAACUGAAAUUUCUCCUUGGAACUUUUAUCUACUGAUCUUACUUCUUUUUGGGGUGUGGGGCUUCCAAAAACAUAAUUUCCAUUUUCAUUGUAAAGUCUUCUGAACUCUGUUUUAGUGUAAAUAUCCUUAUAGCCUCCUUCAGCUUUCUGGGAUAGGGUGUGCUUGAAAUAUGAAGUUUGGGGGCUAAAUAUAAAUACCUUCCUUAACAAAUUACAACAAACUUAUUGGUUUAAAACAAAAAUAUAUUCUCUCACAGAUCCAGAGACCCUUUGUUCAGAAUCAAGGUGUUUGCAGUGCUAUGCUCCCUCAGAAAGCUCUAGGGAAGAGUCUUUUAUGCUUUGUGUAGUUUUUGGUGGCUUGCCAUCACUUGUGGCUACAUUAGUCAGGUGUUUGCCUCCAUGGCCCCAUUUUCUCCUACUCUCCUGUCUGUAAUCUCCAUCUGUCUGAGUUGUAUGAGGACAGUUGUUGGUUUGUAUCAUCUUGUGACAAUAUAAUUUCAGGAUCCUUAAUUUAGGGCUGGGGAUAUGGCUCAGUGGUAGAGUGUUUGCCUAGCAUGCAUGAAGCCCUGGGUUCAAUCCUCAAAAAAAACCUUAUUUGGUUACAUCUGCAAAGACACUUUUCCCAAAUAAGGAAACAUUCAUUAAUUCCAAUGAUUUAGAACAUGGCCAUGUCUUUUUGAGAGCUACCAUUCAAGCCAUUACCAGGCUACAGGCUUAAAUUAUGGUAAUACCACCUACUAGUUUUGCAACCUUGAACAUGUUGCUUAACUUUUGAGUCUGAAUCUCCUUAAAAUUUUAAGUCAAGGACAAUAAUGCUUUUAUCACUGAUGUGAAGAUAUAAAGAAAAUUCAUGUGAAGUACUUAGCAUAUGGUAGCUAAUGCAUUAAAUGUUGCCUUCUACGUGUCUAACUACCCAGAUCCUACUGUGCUUGUUCAGCAUCCCUGGACAUCAUGUGUGUCCUAGAAUCUCACAUGAGUUGCAAGACUGAUCUGAUAAAUGCAGGUUUUCUUAUGUUAUGGACACAAUUUAGCCAACUAUGAUGUUGCCCAAAUUUAAAUUUAGGUUUAUCUGUAGCUGCAUCAUAGGGCUUUAUUGAACUUAGAAUUGGUUAAAAUCCCCAAGCCUUUUUCAUUUAUGAUUAAAUCUAUAUUGUGUAGUGGAAUUUGUGGGUUCAAGUGCAUGUUGUCAAAAAUUACAUUGUAUAUCACAAGUGCUGAUAAUAUCAAGUCAUAGUACCUAGUGCAUAUUGGGAGCUAAAGCUCCCAAUUUUUAAAUGCUGAGUUUUUUUUAAAUAUAUUUUUUAGUUGUAGAUGGACAUAAUGCCUUUAUUUAUUUUUAUUUUUUAUGUGGUGCUGAGAAUGGAACCUAGUGCCUCACACAUGCUAGGCAAGCGCUCUGCCUCUGAGCUCCAGCCCCAGCCCAUGAAUGCUGAAUUUAAUGUUGCCUGUGGUUUAAGAAAUUUAGCUCCUUUGUGCUAUUCAGAGUAUUUUUUAAAACAAGUGCUGUGAUUAAUGUAAAAAGGAAAAAAAGUUACCAGUGGAGUAGCAACUAUAUCGGUUAAUGUUGGGCAGUUGAAUGGCAUCACUAGAGUCUCCUGUGAACAAGAUGCUCUUCAGGUAAUCAAUGGCUGAUCACUUCUGGUUAAUAGACAGUUCUUGAUAAUGUCUUCAAGUGUGAGAUGUAUGUCAUUACUAAUGUGACAAGUGUGUAUCCAGUGAUUUUUCAAAUCUAUUUUCAUACUAGCAUUUUUUGGCAUUUGAAUUUGAGAUAAAAGACUAGAGAAAUCAGUGAUGUAGAGAUGGAUUUUUGAAAAUAUCUAGUCCUUCCCACCACUGCCUUGAUACUGGGAUUGAGCUCAGAGGUACUUCACCGCUGGGCUACCUCCCCAACCCUUUUUAAGUUUUUUCUUUUGAGACAGGGUCUUACCAACUCUUUGAGGCUGGCCUUGAACUUGUGAUUGCCUCAGCCUCUGGAGUCUGAGCCACUGUGCCUGCCUAAAAAUAUCAAGUUGUGAGUAAGUAUUACAUGCAUGCGGUUAAGAAGACAAUGUAAAAAGGAAUACAGUGCAAAGCGACUUUCUCUUCCAUAGUUUCCCUUUCUGGAAACCACCACCCCUAUUUUUUUUGUCCUUCUAGGUAGGCUAAACAAAAAUGUUUGUAUCCGUCCCUUUUAAAAACAAACAUGAAGCUGGGCAUGGUGACACACACCUGUAAUCACAGCUGUUUUGGAGUCUGAGGUAGUGAAUUCAAGUUCAAGACCAGUGUUGGCAACGUAGUGAGACCCUGUCUCAAAAUUUCAAAUAAAUAAAUAAAUAAAUGAAAAGGGUAAAUCUCUUCUUAGUUAAAUUCCCAGUACUGCCAUAAUACAAAAAUUAAACAUAAAUGAUAGCAUAUAUACAUAAACAAGUGCUUUCUUAACAAGAUAUAGAAUUUUUAAAAAAUAUAGGACCAAUGUAGGAUUUCAAGGGUUUUUUUUUUUUUUUUUNAGGCUAUCUUUGAAUUCAUGUUCCUCCUGACUCAGCCUCCGCAACCACUGGGAUUAUAGGCUGUGCCACCAUACCCGUAGUAAGCUAGUAAUUCUUAAUCUUUGGUCUCAAAACCCUUUUAUUCUCUUAAAAAUUAUUGAGGACUUUAAAGGGCUUUUGUAUAUGUUGACUACAGAUAUUAAGACUAAGAAAUUUAAAGAAUGUUCAUUAAUUGAUUUUAAGAUAAUAGUAAAUUUACUGCAUGUUGAAAGGUGUUUCUAUAGCCAGUGUGGUGGUGCAUGCCUAUAAUCCCAGUAUCUCAGGAGGCUGAGGCAGGAGGAUCACUAUUUCAAAGUCAGCCUCAGCUAUUUAGAGAGGCCUUAAGCAACUCAGCAGUCUCUUAAGUGAAAUACUUAACGGCUGGGGAUGUGGUGCAGUGGUUGAGGGCCCCUUAGUUAAAUCCCUGGUACCAAAAAAAAAAAAAAAGAUUUCUACAAAGCAAUUUUCUGAAACAAGUUAGUGAGAUUUUGUUUUCAGUUUUUACAAAUCUUUUUAAUGUCUGGUUUGAGAGGAAAUGGUGGAUUCUCAUACCUACUUUUGCACUCAUUUUGCUGCAGAAUGUUGAUUUGGUUAAAGUAAAAAAAAGAUCUUCUCAUACCAAAUAUGUAGUUGGAAAAGAGGAGUAUCUUAAGAGCCAUUUUAGAUUUUUUUUUUUUAGUGUUAGGUUGACACAAUAUCUUUAUUUUACAUUUAUGUGGUGCUGAGAAUUGAACCCAGUGCCUCACGCAUGCUAGGUGAGUGUGUUACCACUUGAGCCACAUCCCCAGCCCUCCAUUUUAGAUUUUUAUGCUUCUUGUUCUUUGAUGUUAUGCCCAAACUCAUUAGCAGUGAUUUCUCUUUCUUUCUUCCUUUCUUAAAAAAAAUUUUUUUUUUUGUAGUUAUAGUUGGACAGAAUGUCUUUAUUUAUUUGUUUAUUUUUUUGAGGUGCUAAGGAUCGAACCCAGUGCCUCACACAUGCUAGGCAAGCACUCUGCCAUUGAGCCCCAGCCCCAGCCUCAGCAAUAAUUUCUUUAAAGGUGAGUUGUAAUAUGGAAUAAUGAAACCAUAACUGUACUCUGUUAUGCCCAAACUUACUGGUUUGUCAUGCACUUUGAAUGGCUCUUUUAACCUAUGCAUGAUUUUGUAAUAUUGUAGCAUUGGUCAUUGGAAAGUAUUAGUUCACUGAGUUGUACAGAUUUUCUAAAUGCUGAUGCAGAAAUCAUAUUAAUAUUACCAACUGAUUUCAUAAGAAAAGCCUUUUAAGUAAUGAAAAGCUAUCAAGCUCACUGUGGCAGAUAAGUUUUCCAGAAUUCUAAUUAUCACUUAAAAUUUAUCAAAUUUCAUCAUUGACAACAAAUAUUGCUAGUGACAGGCUGACUUUUAAUUUUUGAGAAAAUGUCAAAUACCCAGGUCUGAUCAUAUAAUUUGUGUGACAGCCAUUCUUUCAAGUAAAAAUAAUAUUCCUUCAGGAAAAAGUAGCUAAUUUUAGCUUGAUUCAGAGAAUGGUGCCCAUAUUUUUGUGACCAUCAUCAUACUUCCACAUGUAACAGAAAUACUUUGUGCAUGUUCUGUUUGUUGAAUAGAAUAAGAAAGACAUGAACUCAAGGGUGAAUAUUUAAUAAAUUAUUAAUUUUUACUCAUUCAUUGAGCCCAUUCAUAAAUAAAAUAAACUGCCUUAUCCUGCCUUUUUUUGUGAGCACAUGAUGGUGAAGAGUAUAAUAGCUACUAUAUUGUGGCUACUAUAGUAGUUAGUAGCUGUUAUCUUAAAUUGUGCUGUCAGUAGUUUUACCCCACCAUUGCUUUGUAUCAUAAGUGUAAAUAUAAACACAGUGGGGGGAAAGACAACUAGCUUUUAAUUAUUAUGAAAAUGAUGUAGAUCUCAUGGAUCCCUUGAGAGUCUGUGGUUCACUUUGAGAACUGCUAUUGAUGUUUUCCUGCAGUUCCUGAUCCAGAACGUGACAUGGAAAAGGUGCUCAAGAAUAUUUACUUAAUGAAUGUGAUAUGCUGGCAUUUAAACAUGUCAAAAUUUGGUGAAUGAAAGUAUGUAGACUGAUGUCCAUCCAGGCAGUUUGAUUGAGCAGCUUUUCCACAGAUAUUGUGAGAAUAAAGUGAACAAAUGGAAUGUAGGUGAUAUGUGUUGGCAAUGCAAAUGAUGAAAUAAAGAACUCAAUAUAAGGUGAUAGUACCUACAGAGCUAACACUUUGAGCCUUGUUAGGUUGCUAUUAGUGAGUCCUCUGCUUUUUGUCUUUAGUGGUGUAAAAGAGGAUUCUAAAUAGGAUGGAUUUAACCUGAAAAGCAAAUUUCAAUUUCAAUAGGUCACUGCUGUGCUUGAUUUUAUUUUUUCAAAGUAGACUACAGAAGGUAAAAUGUGAACAAAUAAUUUCAUUUUCCCUUGUGAGUUAAAUAAAUUUUGUUGUUCCUCUUCUAAUUCAUAUUCAAUAUGUUGGACUUGCUUUCUUCUUUCUUCUCUCUUUUUCUUUUCUUCUUGUUGGGGGAAGUUGGUUCAAGGAAACCUUUUUCUAUAACUUUUUAUAUUCUUUGAAUUUGAGGAAAUUGCUUCCCAAAUAAGAAAGUCUGACCACACAAGGUAAAUUGUCAUAUUAUUUUAUCCUCAUGGGAAUUAAAGUAUAAGAUUAGGUUAGGACAUUGCUUUAAAACGGGGGUUAUUGGUUUUCUGUUCUUUUAAGGAAAUAAAUUAACAAAGGGAAUGGUCACAUCAAAUACUUAGAAUACCUUUAAAAUAGUUUAACACAAAACUGUUGUAGGAAUUUUGAACUUUGACCCCAUUUUUGUCUUAAAUGGAUUUUAAAUCAAUAUCAGGUGGGGGUGGGGAGGAUGGUAUAAACCUGUAAUCCCAUUUAUGUGGGGAUCCUGAGACUAAAGGCUCUCGAGUUUGAGGUCAGCCUGGGCAAUUUAAAGAGACCUCAUCUCAGAAAUUUUUAAAAAGGGAUGCUGGGUUAGCUCAGUGGUAGACUGGCCCUGAGAUCAAUUCUGAGUACUGAAAAAAAAAAAACAAUAAUGUUAAAUGCUGAGGACCAACAAAUUACUCAUCUUAUGUUGAACAACAACAACAAAAAAAAUUAACUAUCUUUUAGUUGUCAAUGGAUCUUAUUUAUUUAUUUAUUUAUAUGCAAUGGUGAGAAUUGAACCCAGGGCCUCACAUUUCAGGAAAGUGCUCUCCUACUGAACCACAACUCUAGCCCCCCAAACAAAUUUUUUUUUAUAUUGAAAUAUUAUCUUGAAUUUGAGACAAUAUUUGAACUGAAGUUUUUGCCUUUAUGAAUAAGAGACAUUUUUGUGAGCUAUUUAAUUUUCGUAAUUUUUUUUUAAAUAAAAUUGAGUGAGACUGUAUAGCAAACUCAUGUAUAUCCUAGAAUAUAUCUGAAUGUUUCUCAGAAACUUGAUUUUUUAGGGAGAAACCUAUUUAGUGUUUCAUUGUACUUCUACCUGGUUGGCAUAGCAUACCACAAUGAUAAACUAUCUGAUAACCAGGAAAAUAAUAAUUGUUUAAUUAUUAAAGUAAAUGAAUUUCUCUGAGACAUUGCCAAUGUAGUCAUUUGUAAGUAUGGACACUUUUAAGAAAAGUAAAUAAAAAUCCUGUGUGUUUGUAAGUUCUAGGUUGCCACAUCUGAUCUCAUGUCACUGUCAAAACACAGGCACAUUACAAAAAUAUUAUAUAAAAUUAAUUUCAGGCUAUUUGUAUAAGGAAGUAUGAAACAUUAAUUUCAUAUUUAGACUUGGGUCCCAUUCCCAAGGUGUCUUGUUAUGUAUAUGCAAAUAUUUCAAAAUCUAAAGCACUUCUGGCCUCAAACAUUUUGAACAAGAGAUACUCGACCUAUAUUUUAUUCCCCUGCAUUUUUACAAACUUUUAAUAUAUAUAUAUGAUUAUAUGAUUAUAAACUAAAUAAUGUACAUAUUAUAUGUAAACUGUAUUUUCUAUGGAUAUAUAUAUCCAUAUAAAUAUAUAUCCAUAGAAAAAGUAUAUUGUUUUAUAUCUUUUAAAACUUUGUAUAAGUGGUUAAACUUUAUUGAUAUGUGUAGUUAUACUCAUUUUAAAUGCUAUUAAUAUCUAAUAUAACGGCAUGUGAAAAUAAUUUUGUAAGGCAUCUUAAAAAUAAAGUAGUAAGAUGACAAAAAUUUGUAAACCUACCAUCCAGAAAUAUCACAUUUGAUAUUUUUUUCCUUCACUUCCUCAUUUCCAACUUUUGUAUGUAUACUUUUGGUACCUUUUAAUAUCAAAGGGAUCGUGUUUUAUGGAUUACAUAAAAUUGUAAAACAGCCAUAUAAAGACUAUAAUCCCAGUUUAGUUGAUUCCUAGUUGAAUAAGGAAAGAAUAUGGAUGAAUACUGCAUAUCAGAUAUACAUAGAUAUUGAUGAUUUAUUUCUUAGUAUAGAAGCACCAUAUAGGUGGCAUCUGGGAAGAGGUGGGUCAUAUUGUUUAGUGUGUCUUAAAAAUUAAAGAUUUUUCUAAUAAGCAUAGUUACUAGGUAGAUGACACUUAUCUCUUUAAACAUUUAGAGCUAUUUUGUUUUUAACCAUUUUUAAUGGAAAAAAAUUGGAAAAGAAGCCUAUGAUGAGUAUCAUUGUUCUGUUUAAACUGUAAUACUAUGUACUACUUAUAAUUUUAUCUUUCCUUGUUCAUCACCAUGAAAAGCACUGAUGACUGAACUCUGUUGAAAUUUCUGUUAGCCUCUUGUGCACCCUUAGUUAGAUCUUUAUCAGCAUUCCAUGCCACUGCAAGGAGGGAGUUGGAAGAGCAUGAUAAAAUCUAAAGGCAGUUCUCACCAAUGGCAGUAGUGGGAAAGGCCACCAGCAGCCUUGUCUCUUCAUUGGAUGAAGCUGACCCACCCUCCUGAUCUCUUCAGUCUCUUCCUGCCAGUACAUCCUUUAUGUGCAUGUGUUAAACAUUAUAUGAUUAUUAACUAAAUAAUGUACAUAUUAUAUGUAAACUGUAUUUGAAGAAUAUAGUUAUGUAUAAACUAUUAUAUAUAAAUGAUAACACUAUAUAACUAAAAAUAUUUGGCAUCAUGGUGAAAUUAUUGGAAGAGUUCCUGACUGCAGUUGAAAAACCCUCUAUUCCACAUUUACUAUGAUUUCUAAUGGGAACGUUUUAAAAACCCUUUUUAAUUUUAUAUAUCUUAUUUUUUAAAGUAGUUUUAUAUUUGUAGAAAAUUUUGAAUGGAAAAUAUGGAGAGUUCCCUUCCUAUCUAUUCUGCUAUCCCCAGUUUCCCUUAACAUCUUACUUUAAUGUAAAUUUGUUACAGUCAAUUAGCCGAUAUUAACUAAAACUCAUAGUUUACAUUGGAUUUCUUUGUGUUGCUGUCUAUGGGUUUUGACAAAUGCAUAUUGAUAUAUCUAUCAUCUGUUACAGUAUCAUUCAGAAUGGUUUCACUACCCUAAAAAUCUCCUAUACUCUCCUUCCCUCCUUACUUGCAAACCCUUGGCAGCCACUGAUCUUGUUACUGUCUCCCUAGUUUUACCUUUUCUGAAAUGUCAUAUGGUUGGAAUCAUACAUUUGUAACCAUUUCAGAUUGAUUUCUUUCUCUUAGAAGUAAGUUUCUUCCAUGUCUUCAUGGCUUGAUAGCUUAUUUUCUUUUUAGUGCCGAAUGUAAUGUCCCAUUGUAUGGAUGUACUAUGGUUUAUCCAUUCACCUACUGAAGGACAUCUUUGUUGCUUCCAAGUUUUUGUUUUAUUUUUUGCAAUUAUGAAUAAAGUUGCUUUGAAUAAAAAAAAAAAAAAACCUACUCAUGUCUAAAAAUAUUACUAACAAAAAGUUGGAAAAUUUUCCUCAGAUAUAAAAUAUUGGUACCUUUGUUUAAAAAACAAAUUAAUCUAAAGUGAGAUUGUUCAUAAUGUUCAAUCUUCAGAAGAAUUUCUUUGAAAUCAGAAACACAAUGCAAAUACCUAACAACUGUGAAACACGUAAUAUUUUAAAUGCACAUCUUCUAUCAUUAAGUAAUUUUACCAAAAU